Molecule: unclassified non-coding RNA, 391 nt
Filed under: uncultured fungus
Lineage: Eukaryota; Fungi
Description: partial contains 5.8S ribosomal RNA, internal transcribed spacer 2, and large subunit ribosomal RNA
Source: RNAcentral
AACGCAUAUGGCACCCUUUGGUUCUCGCCAAGGGGUAUGCCUGUUUGAGAAUCAUUUUCGGAUACACUUGUUGCAUUCUUGAUCAAUAGGGUGUACUCUCAAUGGGAUUACUCUCAAUGGGAUUACUCUCAAUUGAUCCAGGAAUGCAAUCCACAUGGGCCUUCAUCAUUGAUCGCCUUGAAUUCAUGCAUGGGACUGCUCGUGAUAGAAAAGUGUCGCAUGAUGUGGUGCUCAAUGCACUCGUCGUGUGAUGUGCAGGGACGGUCGUGGUGUGCAGUUGCAUGUCACGUGCUCGUCCUUGUUGAUCGAUCAGUCCCCUUGGAAGCAUCCACUUCCAUCCCACCCUCUCUACAAUGAUCUCAAAUCAGGCAAGACUACCCGCUGAACUUAA